CAGUGAUUUUUCCUUUUCCGAAAAUGGCAAAAAUGGGAAAGAGUUAAACUGGGGAAGGAGAACUGGUGUGAACUCACACUAAAACCCAAAAUACAGUUCAUACAUGAAGCCUAAAAUCCGAGUAAAGCUACAAUCCAAAUUUGUCACAAUCUGCAAUAAAGCUUAAUGAGUACGUAGUUUUCUUCUUCAUUCUUCCAUUUCUCAGUCUGUGUUAACAGUUUUACAUAGAAAAAUCCGCUCCUCUACCAAAAACCCAUGGAGAACAAUCAUCAACAAUCGGCGGAGCCUCUGUACCCUGGUUACCCCUUCCACCAAAUGCUGAUGCUGCAGCAGCAUGAACAGCUGCAGCUGCAGCAACAGCAGCAGGUGGAACAGCAAAUGAGGAUUUUCUGGAACUGCCAGCGUGAAGAAAUUGAGGAGCUGGAUGAUUUUAAGCAUCACCAGUUUCCCAUUUCCAGGAUCAAGAGGAUUAUAAAAUCUGAAAACAAUGUCCUCAAGGUGUCUGCUGAAACACCGAUUUUGUUUUCAAAGGCAUGUGAGCUCUUUGUUCUGGAGCUCACUCUUCGUUCCUGGUUUCACGCCCAGGAAAACAACCGUGGUACUCUUAAGAAAACUGACUUCGCUGCCGCUAUUAGGCGGACUGAGAUUUUUGAUUUCCUUGCUGACGUCGUCCCUGCGGAUGAGAUCAAUGAAGUGGCUACUGGUUUUGGGCCUGGCAUGGUGGGGCCCACAGCAGGUGGUGGUUUUCCCUACUUUUAUCCACCAAUGGGACAGCUUGCUAUGCCUGGGGUGAUGCUAGGAGGGCCUGCUAUGCCUGGGGUGAUGCCAGGAGGGCUUGCUAUGCCUGGGCCGAUGCUAGGAGGGCCUGCUAUGCCUGAGGUGAUGAUAGGAGGACCUGCUAUGCCUGUGGUUGCUCCUUCAGUGUACGUUCAGCCUCCAUUGCAGGCGUGGCAGCCUGCUGGUGAUAAUUCCAAUGCUGGUGGAGGGAACGGUGGACAGGGUAACUUUGGUCCUUAAAGUUAAAGAUCAAGUCGUCUGUUGAAGAGGCACAAUGGAAGCUGAGUUACUAAUGCUACAGGGUUUGAAGAGUUGAAGACAGUUAGUUAAUCUCCAUAGUAUUUAUGUGAAUAAACUUCACACGAUAGCCAGGUCGUCGAGUGUUGCUCCAUUUGCUGGUUGAAUCUGAAGGAGACAAUAAAGUUUUCUUGUUUGUGACCUGCCAAAGUUGUAGGCUAAUGGAAUGUAAUAAAGACAUUGCUGGAGCUCAAAAUUUUUGCUUUGAAGGCUCAAAAUCGGUUUCCAGGCCUUGAUGGUCUUUCUCAGUUCCUGGAGGUGGUGGCUGUUUAUGUUGCUCAUGAUAAAAAGACUUAUGGUGAAGUGGAUAUUUACAGUGUUCUUUCUCUCGAGCUCUCAGCUAAUGAUGAAACAAUAAGGAAACACUACUGAAGGCUUGCUCUAGCUCUUCACCUUGAUAAAAAUAAAUCUGUUGGGGGCAGAUGGGGCGUUUAAGAUUAUAUCUGAAGCGUGGAGUUUGUUUUAUGAUAGAACCAAAAGAAUGAUGGAUGACAAUACGCAUGCUACGAGGAAUGCAUCCAUGCAACGCAAUCGGCACGAAUUUCAUAAUUUCUCCAUGAACCGAGCAAGUGCAAGAAACUCAACAAAUGCUAAUUUCCAGCCCACCCCAGUGGCUCCCAGACAUCAAAAGUUGAAACAUUCUGGACAUCUUGCAAUACACGCCAGAUGCCUAAUGAAUACUUAAAGCGUCACCUAAACAAAAGUAUUAUGUGCCCCAAAUGUCACCGGCCCUUUAGGGCAAGGGUGGUAGGUGUUCCCAUGAAAAUUCAAGCUGCUUCUUUUUCGUGGUCUUCCAGCCAGCAGCAGCAGGGUACAAACUAUCCUGCUUCCAUUAGAUUUUCUGUUUCAGGUGUGAAGAUCCCUACAGCUUCAAAUUCAGUACAGUACAAUCUGGUUAUUCUGGCUUUGGCUCAACAAUUAGAGCAAACAUUCAGAAGGAUCAAGUUUUUAAGAAGAGCGAUGCAAAUAGUGUGCAUGCCACUACAGCUGGGCAAGCUGCACACCCCGGCCAGCCAGCUGGUGGAAACUUGAAGAGAGCUAAUGCAGAAGCAGCUCUGUGUGCCAGGAGACUUUUCUGAAGAAAAACAAUUCAUUCAUGAAAAACUGAUGCAGGUCUUGUUCCUGAUUCAGUUUCCACUUGUUCAGAAGCUGAUAGGCUAAUAUAAAAGAGAUGCAUAGAUGAGUUGAAGUCAAAAUUUCAAAGAGAAGGAAUGGUAAAUGAAUUGGCUGCAAAAGGUGAAUCUAGCAGCCAAGAAAACAUGCAUGGAAAUGAAAAUGGUGUUUUGAGAGCAGAGAGGGCUACCAUUGUGGUAAGUAACAAGCCCAGGAGUUCAGGGGAGUUGUCCAAUUUAGAAAUUCGCAGUAUGCUGGCGAAAAAGGCUAGGAUGGAUCACCAAGAAGCUUAAAGAAUGGAGCACAAAUGCUACUUCUCAAACUUCAUCUGAGAAGGAAAGAGAAGUGGAAAAGAAGAAGCAAAUUGCACGUGAAGUUAUCAAAAAUGAUCUAAGAAGGGAUAAAACUGCUCAUGAUGCUGUGGUGGAUCCAAAAUAGCAUACGAGCAGAAAAAAUGGCUGGUCUUUAGUGCUCUGUUUGAUUUAGAACCAGAAGCUACGUCAAUGACUGUUCCAGAUCCUGACUUCCAUAAUUUCGACAAGGAUAGACUGGAAAAAUCUUUUGAUGAGAAUCAAGUCUGGGCUGCUUAUGAUACUGAUGAUGGCAUGCCACACUAUUAUGCUCUGAUUCGCUAUAUGAUAUCUAAAAAUCCAUUGAAAGUGCAAUUGAGCUGGUUGAACUCCAAAAACAACUCCAAACUCUUCCCAAUUAAUUGGGUUGGUUCUGGCUUCCUCAAGACCAGUAGAGAUUUCAGGAUAGGCAAGCAAGAAAUCAAUAAGACGCUCAAUUCUUUUUCCCACUAGGUCAAGUGGGUGAAAGGGGCUGGAGGUGUUAUCCAAAUUUUCUCUAGAAAGGGGCAUGUUUGGGCUCUGUACAUGCAUUGGUCUCCUAAAUGGAAUGUGCUAACUUCAAAUGAUAUGAUACACAACUAUGAUAUGGCGGAAGUGCUUGGCAACUGCACUGAGAAGGAAGGUGUCACUGUUAUUUCAUUAGUCAAAGUAGCUGCUUCACG
This is an RNA transcript of Solanum tuberosum (potato), 3199 nucleotides long. It is a transcript of the gene named nuclear transcription factor Y subunit C-1-like, with no coding region annotated. The record is from RefSeq and is a predicted model, not a curated record. NCBI's taxonomy places the organism in Eukaryota, Viridiplantae, Streptophyta, Magnoliopsida, Solanales, Solanaceae. The transcript has 3 exons.